UACGUAGGGCGCAAGCGUUGUCCGGAAUUAUCGGGCGUAAAGAGCUCGUAGGCGGUUUGUCGCGUCUGCUGUGAAAACUCGAGGCUCAACCUCGGGCUUGCAGUGGGUACGGGCAGACUAGAGUGCGGUAGGGGUGACUGGAAUUCCUGGUGUAGCGGUGGAAUGCGCAGAUAUCAGGAGGAACACCGAUGGCGAAGGCAGGUCACUGGGCCGCAACUGACGCUGAGGAGCGAAAGCAUGGGGAGCGAACAGG
RNAcentral lists this ribosomal RNA (253 nucleotides) under uncultured bacterium. RNAcentral's name for it is "partial 16S ribosomal RNA". It matches the Rfam family "Bacterial small subunit ribosomal RNA", at positions 524 to 776 of the family's 1533-position model. The record is from RNAcentral.